RNAcentral lists this ribosomal RNA (253 nucleotides) under uncultured bacterium. Its description in RNAcentral is "partial 16S ribosomal RNA". It matches the Rfam family "Bacterial small subunit ribosomal RNA", at positions 524 to 776 of the family's 1533-position model. The record is from RNAcentral.
UACGUAGGUGGCAAGCGAUACUCGGAAUCACUAGGCGUAAAGCGCAGGUAGGCGGUUCAGUAAGUCUUUUGUGAAAGCUCCCGGCUCAACUGGGAGAGGCCAAGGGAAACUACUGGACUAGAGUGUGGUAGGGGAUACUGGAAUUCCUGGUGUAGCAGUGAAAUGCGUAGAUAUCAGGAGGAACACCGAUGGCGAAGGCAGGUCUCUGGGCUGACACUGACGCUCAUGCACGAAAGCGUGGGGAGCAAACAGG